UACGUAGGGGGCAAGCGUUGUCCGGAAUCAUUGGGCGUAAAGCGCGUGUAGGCGGCCAGAAAAGUCCGCUGUGAAAACUCGAGGCUCAACUUCGAGCUGUCGGUGGAAACUUUCUGGCUAGAGUCCGGAAGAGGAGAAUGGAAUUCCUGGUGUAGCGGUGAAAUGCGCAGAUAUCAGGAAGAACACCCGUGGCGAAGGCGGUUCUCUGGGACGGUACUGACGCUGAGGCAUGAAAGCGUGGGGAGCAAACAGG
This 253-nucleotide ribosomal RNA is filed under the name uncultured bacterium. Its description in RNAcentral is "partial 16S ribosomal RNA". It matches the Rfam family "Bacterial small subunit ribosomal RNA", at positions 524 to 776 of the family's 1533-position model. The record is from RNAcentral.